GUNCCAGCAGCCGCGGUAAUACGUAGGACCCAAGCGUUAUCCGGAAUUACUGGGCGUAAAGAGUUGCGUAGGUGGCACUGUAAGUGGAGCGUGAAAGCGUGCGGCUCAACCGCAUUACUGCGUUCUAAACUACAGAGCUUGAGUAUGAGAGAGGUUAUUGGAAUUUCCAGUGUAGGAGUGAAAUCCGUAGAUAUUGGAAGGAACACCGAUGGCGUAGGCAGAUAACUGGCUCAUUACUGACACUAAGGCACGAAAGCGUGGGGAGCAAACGGGAUUAGAUACCCCGGUAGUCCACGCUGUAAACUAUGGAUGCUAGCUGUGACACACAUCGACCUGUGUCGUAGCGAAGUUAACGCGUUAAGCAUCCCGCCUGGGGAGUACGGUCGCAAGAUUAAAACUCAAAGGAAUUGACGGGGACCCGCACAAGCGGUGGAGCGUGUUGUUUAAUUCGAUGGUAAGCGAAGAACCUUACCAAGGCUUGAAAUCCCGAUAGCAAUUCUUCGAAAGAAGAAUCUCAUUUAGUUGGAUCGGUGACAGGUGUUGCAUGGCCGUCGUCAGCUCGUGUCGUGAGAUGUAUGGUUAAGUCCAUUAACGAGCGCAACCCUUAUGUUUAGUUGGAUUUUUCUAAACAGACUGCCCUGGCAACAGGGAGGAAGGGGGGGAUGAUGUCAGGUCAGUAUUACCCUUACGUCUUGGGCUACAAACACGCUACAAUGGCCGGUACAGAGGGCUGCCAACCCGCGAGGGGGAGCAAAUCCCAUCAAAGCCGGUCUCAGUUCGGAUAGCAGGCUGAACUCGCCUGCUUGAAGCUGGAAUCGCUAGUAACGGUAGGUCAGCACACUACCGUGAAUACGUUCCCGGGUCUUGCACACACCGCCCGU
This 881-nucleotide ribosomal RNA is filed under the name uncultured bacterium. RNAcentral describes it as "bacterial SSU rRNA". It matches the Rfam family "Bacterial small subunit ribosomal RNA", at positions 505 to 1397 of the family's 1533-position model. The record is from RNAcentral.